RNAcentral lists this long non-coding RNA (2152 nucleotides) under Olea europaea (common olive). Its description in RNAcentral is "long non-coding RNA (OEUR_LNC005751)". The record is from RNAcentral. Lineage: Eukaryota; Viridiplantae; Streptophyta; Magnoliopsida; Lamiales; Oleaceae.
UAGGGGGAUUAUAGGUAUUGAUGGAGCAGGGACUUCUAAUGAGCCGAGUUUUCGGUCCAUUGUGUUACCUUGCUGCACUGAGAAGGUUUGUAGUUGUGCCAGACAUGUAUUCAUUAUAAUUGUGCUGGCUAUGAUAGGUAACAUUCUUGUCAACACCUUUACUUCUUCAACCUGCGUCACUGUGCAGACUGUCCAUGGCAAGGGCUCGGCAUCAUUGUGAAGAAUUGCAGCUUUGUCAAGGGAUCUGGAUCAGGCCGUGUAAUCUUGAGGAAUCAGCAACCAUUAGCAAAAAAAGAAAUGCAUUAAGGUACGUAAUCUUUAUGCAUCUUUUCCAGUUUACUCAUUAUCUUGAUGAUUUAAGUUGCAUGCUUUAAAAUUAUGUCAAAGAUUUGAAUUGGGGUUCACUUCAAUGAAAAAAUUGAGGUAGUUUUGAAGCUUCUCCAUUUUUCCCUGCAACCGCAGUAGAUUAUUAGACUGGAGGGUUAAUUUAAUCGAGUAACUUUACAUUCUAAGCUUAUUGUCUGUUUUGUACUUAUAUGUUCAUAUAACACCCUUAAGUCCACCUUAAUACAAUUUCGGAAUUUCCUCUAAUCCUUUCCACAAAUCGUAAAUGGUGUACAAAACGCAGCCUGGAUGUUUAUUUCGUACACAUUACUACAUGGGACAUAACAAUAUUAAGCCCCUGUUUGGCUUAGGUGAAAAUCAGAUUUUUAGUAGCUUUUAAUAAAAAUUGAUAGAAUAUGUGGUUGAAAAGUUGUGGAUUCUAUAAAAUAUGUUGUUAAAAUUAAUUGUUGAAUUUGACUUAAAUUAUUAACAAACUUUUUAGUUGAACCAAACAGGGUUUGAGCAAGAUAAAACAAGACAACUAAAAUCUUUUUCCUUGUACUUUCGAGUCCCGUCCUACUUAAUAAACAUACCGUUAGAGGAUAAUUUUGUCUUAUUCGCUCCAUAGGCUAAAAUGGCACCUGUUUUGUAUCAAUGCGACUAUGAUGCAGUUAAAUCCAAGUGGGGGUGGGUUCAAGAAGGAGAUUACUGCUUUCUCCAAUAAUAAUUAGCUCGACAAGAAAAUAAAUAAAGUACCUAAACUGUUCAGUAUGAGCAAUCUUGGCCUCUGUGGAAGCUGAUUCUCUCUCAUUAAUCUCAUACAAUUCACUGGCGCUCUCUGGAGGUGGCAACUUUCUAUUCUUUAUUGCCACAAUAAUAACCUGAGAAUCGGGAUUAAGAAAAAAAUGACUUGAGAACCUUUUUAUUUUUAUUUUAUUUUAUUAUUAUUAUUAUCUUAAAUUGUGAUAUAAUAGAUUAGCCAUGACAUUAAAUUGUGAUAUAAUAGAUAAACAAAUCACGUGUCAGCGUAUCUCACAUGUAUCGUGCACGUGUGUGUCGGUGCAUCAUACACUCUAAGCCUCUCUGAAAUAGGACCUGGCCUAGCUGAUUUGACACCAUUAAUUUGAAUGUAUGGAUGGUGCAGUCAGCAUUGAAAUCUUAAAUAUUUGAAAAUAGGCAAAAUGUGUGCACGAGCAUGUGACGGAGGGGAUAGAUACCUGUGCGAUUCUUACUAGAGGGCUUUCUUCAGGGGCUUGAAGGCGGUAGAAAGGCUUUCCGAGGGCAAGAAUGAUAAAACCAACAAAUGCACUCACAAGAGUUAUGAGAAAACCCUUCCACCAGUUAUGGUUAUUCUUGUUUGUGCUAAUGUAAACUAUGACAGUGACUCCAACUAAUGAACCAGUUACCGUACUGAGCAAGAGCCAAUUGAAAUAACUUGCAAGACCCUUGGCUUCCUUUGGGUCCUUCUGAUCAAAUUGAUCAGCACCAAGUGCAGGAAGUGACCCCCUAACCCCACCUGAUCCCAGUGCAAACAAACACAGGGAUGCAUAGAACAUGAUUGCUGGUCUACCUGUCAUACAAUUUGACUUGCCACAAGAUGCUGGUUGCAACUUCUCGUCAUGUGCUUGAAUUGUCAUCAUCAUUAGAGCCUAAGGAAAUUAAUGAAUACAAACUCAUUUCUCAGGAUUUGGGACUUGCUAUGAAAGAAAGUAUAGGCAGAAAAGAGUACUGAGGAGAAAACAGGGGAAAGAAGCUAACCAAUAUCUCUACCGUCCCAAAAAUCAGACUAGUGUGGAAUCUGUUUAUAUAAGUGUCCGAAAUGAAGCCA